This 494-nucleotide ribosomal RNA is filed under the name uncultured bacterium. Its description in RNAcentral is "partial 16S ribosomal RNA". It matches the Rfam family "Bacterial small subunit ribosomal RNA", at positions 30 to 523 of the family's 1533-position model. The record is from RNAcentral.
AUUGAACGCUGGCGGAAUGCUUUACACAUGCAAGUCGAACGGCAGCACGGACUUCGGUCUGGUGGCGAGUGGCGAACGGGUGAGUAAUACAUCGGAACGUGCCCAGUCGUGGGGGAUAACGUAGCGAAAGCUACGCUAAUACCGCAUACGAUCUAAGGAUGAAAGCGGGGGAUCGCAAGACCUCGCGCGAUUGGAGCGGCCGAUGGCAGAUUAGGUAGUUGGUAGGGUAAAGGCCUACCAAGCCGACGAUCUGUAGCUGGUCUGAGAGGAUGAUCAGCCACACUGGGACUGAGACACGGCCCAGACUCCUACGGGAGGCAGCAGUGGGGAAUUUUGGACAAUGGGCGCAAGCCUGAUCCAGCCAUUCCGCGUGCAGGAUGAAGGCCUUCGGGUUGUAAACUGCUUUUAUACAGGAAUAAAGUUAGCCACGUGUGGUUAUUUGUAGGUACUGUAUGAAUAAGGACCGGCUAAUUCCGUGCCAGCAGCCGCCGUAA